RNAcentral lists this ribosomal RNA (472 nucleotides) under uncultured bacterium. Its description in RNAcentral is "partial 16S ribosomal RNA". It matches the Rfam family "Bacterial small subunit ribosomal RNA", at positions 30 to 507 of the family's 1533-position model. The record is from RNAcentral.
AGUGAACGCUGGCGGUAUGCCUAACACAUGCAAGUCGAACGGCAGCACAGUAAGUGCUUGCUCUUACGGGUGGCGAGUGGCGGACGGGUGAGGAAUACAUCGGACUCUACUUUUUCGUGGGGGAUAACGUAGGGAAACUUACGCUAAUACCGCAUACGACCUUCGGUUGAAAGCAGGGGAUCUUCGGACCUUGCGCGAUUGAAUGAGCCGAUGUCGUAUUAGCUAGUUGGCGGGGUGAUGGCCCACCCAGGCGACGAUCGGUAGCUGGUCUGAGAGGAUGAAAGGCGACACAGGGACUGAGGGACGGCCCAGACGGGUAAGGGAGGCAGAAGGGGGGAAUAUUGACCAAUGGGCGCAGGCGUGAUGAAGAAACGCUGCGGGUGGGAAGACGGUUUUCGGGGGGAAAAAAGCUUGCGGUUGAAACGAAGCGUGAGUGACGGUACCCGAAAAAGAAGCACCGGCUAAAUUCGUG